UUCAAAUAGGGCACCGUAUCUCUUGUACCAAAAGAAAAAAAAUAGGGCACUGUAUCCUAUGUUUAUCCAUGGCCACAGGAAACUGAGGAAAGGAUAAGGAUCUUGAGGGUUUUGAUAGGAGACAUGCACUGAUGGGGAAGGAUAAGAUCGAGCCUUAUCCAAGGAGGAGUGACCGUCUCCGGCAACUGUCGGGCUACCUCAUCGAAGCUCUCCAUCCCUUUAAAAACCUUAUCCCUCUUUUCUAAACCCAUCAACCCCUAUUCCAAGAGUCUUN
This 274-nucleotide long non-coding RNA is filed under the name Elaeis guineensis (African oil palm). RNAcentral's name for it is "long non-coding RNA (EGUI_LNC015046)". Lineage: Eukaryota; Viridiplantae; Streptophyta; Magnoliopsida; Arecales; Arecaceae. The record is from RNAcentral.